This 388-nucleotide ribosomal RNA is filed under the name uncultured bacterium. Its description in RNAcentral is "bacterial SSU rRNA". It matches the Rfam family "Bacterial small subunit ribosomal RNA", at positions 30 to 416 of the family's 1533-position model. The record is from RNAcentral.
AUUGAACGCUGGCGGCAUGCCUUACACAUGCAAGUCGAACGGCAGCACGGGAGCUUGCUCCUGGUGGCGAGUGGCGAACGGGUGAGUAAUAUAUCGGAACGUACCCUAGAGUGGGGGAUAACGCAGCGAAAGUUGCGCUAAUACCGCAUACGAUCUACGGAUGAAAGUGGGGGAUCGCAAGACCUCAUGCUCAUGGAGCGGCCGAUAUCUGAUUAGCUAGUUGGUGGGGUAAAGGCCUACCAAGGCUUCGAUCAGUAGCUGGUCUGAGAGGACGACCAGCCACACUGGAACUGAGACACGGUCCAGACUCCUACGGGAGGCAGCAGUGGGGAAUUUUGGACAAUGGGCGCAAGCCUGAUCCAGCAAUGCCGCGUGCAGGAUGAAGGCC